UACGUAGGUGGCAAGCGUUGUCCGGAGUUAUUGGGCGUAAAGCGCGCGCAGGCGGUGCGGUAAGUCUCUGGUGAAAGCGCUCGGCUUAACUGGGCGAGGGCCGGGGAGACUGCCACGCUGGAGGGGAGCAGAGGCGAGUGGAAUUCCGGGUGUAGUGGUGAAAUGCGUAGAUAUCGGGAGGAACACCUGUGGCGAAAGCGGCUCACUGGACCACAACUGACGCUGAGGCGCGAAAGCUAGGGGAGCAAACAGG
RNAcentral lists this ribosomal RNA (253 nucleotides) under uncultured bacterium. RNAcentral describes it as "partial 16S ribosomal RNA". It matches the Rfam family "Bacterial small subunit ribosomal RNA", at positions 524 to 776 of the family's 1533-position model. The record is from RNAcentral.